This 253-nucleotide ribosomal RNA is filed under the name uncultured bacterium. Its description in RNAcentral is "partial 16S ribosomal RNA". It matches the Rfam family "Bacterial small subunit ribosomal RNA", at positions 524 to 776 of the family's 1533-position model. The record is from RNAcentral.
UACGUAGGGUCCGAGCGUUGUCCGGAAUUACUGGGCGUAAAGAGCUCGUAGGUGGUUUGUCGCGUUGUUCGUGAAAACUCACAGCUUAACUGUGGGCGUGCGGGCGAUACGGGCAGACUUGAGUACUGCAGGGGAGACUGGAAUUCCUGGUGUAGCGGUGGAAUGCGCAGAUAUCAGGAGGAACACCGGUGGCGAAGGCGGGUUGCUGGGCCGACACUGACGCUGAGGCGCGAAAGCCAGGGGAGCAAACGGG